This 786-nucleotide long non-coding RNA is filed under the name Ananas comosus (pineapple). RNAcentral's name for it is "long non-coding RNA (ACOM_LNC013879)". The record is from RNAcentral. Lineage: Eukaryota; Viridiplantae; Streptophyta; Magnoliopsida; Poales; Bromeliaceae.
UAUGACCGUGAUCUAUUGAAUAGGUAGAAUUUUAUUGAAGCUGGUGAAGUCUAUUCUAUCAAAAUUAAUAUAAAAAUUUAAAUGGUUGAAAUCUAACUAAAACAAAAUCUAAAAGUUCGAGAACUAAUUGUAUAAAAAAAGGGUAGGGAUCAAUAGUGCGAUUAAUGUAAUCUUUUUAAAUAUAAGAUACUCUAUUUUAAAAAUAAAUGUAUAACACCGACCGGCUUUAGCACAAGUCGCAAAGAGUUUGAUAUAUUUUUUCUUUUCGAGAAAAAAGAUAGCACACUGUACACUUUAUUCAUUUGGAAUAUAAAUCUAGCUACAAAAGGUGAGACAACGAACCUCAAUAAAGAAAAUAAAAAACAAAUAACAAUAAUAAUUUUAAAAAAAGCGAUUAAAACUACAAUAGCAAGAUACCGACACUACAAAAUUUCCUCCCCAAUAAAAAAUUUGAUAGUUGAUAUCCGAGAUUACUAAUUUCAAUACUAGCCGUUUUAUUUUUUCCAACUAAAUUUAUUUGCAAAAAAAGGAAAAAAAACUAUAGAAGCUGUCGGAUCGUUGGCACUGGUUAUUAAUCCCAAAAAGAUCAAGUUAUUAUAAAUAUGCAACUAAUUCACUUAAAGCGUACAGACACAGCGAGCCUACGGAUCUCGAUUAUGACUCGGCCGAAUCAACCUCACGCCACUUUAAAUAUGACUCGGUCUAAUUCAAUCUCACUCUAUUUUGAAUAUGACUCGAUCCAAUUUAACCUUCCGCCACGGAAUAAAAUACCGUCUAAUUAAAGCC